This 417-nucleotide ribosomal RNA is filed under the name uncultured Glomeromycotina. RNAcentral's name for it is "SSU rRNA". It matches the Rfam family "Eukaryotic small subunit ribosomal RNA", at positions 677 to 1092 of the family's 1831-position model. The record is from RNAcentral. Lineage: Eukaryota; Fungi; Glomeromycota.
GUGCUGGCAUUGUUGGUUUCUCCCUUCUGACGAACCAUGAUGUCAUUUAUUUGGUGUUGUGGGGAAUCAGGACUGUUACUUUGAAAAAAUUAGAGUGUUUAAAGCAAGCUCACGCUUGAAUACAUUAGCAUGGAAUAAUGAAAUAGGACGUUUGAUUCUAUUUUGUUGGUUUCUAGGAUCGACGUAAUGAUUAAUAGGGAUAGUUGGGGGCAUUAGUAUUCAAUUGUCAGAGGUGAAAUUCUUGGAUUUAUUGAAGACUAACUACUGCGAAAGCAUUUGCCAAGGAUGUUUUCAUUAAUCAAGAACGAAAGUUAGGGGAUCGAAGACGAUCAGAUACCGUCGUAGUCUUAACCAUAAACUAUGCCGACUAGGGAUCGGAUGAUGUUAAUUUUUUAAUGACUCAUUCGGCGCCUUACG